AAGGUAAUCGCUCUGCAUUUGGUUGUCUGCUGCAUUGUCUGAUAUAUGAAACAUCUAGCCUUGCAAAGUUGCAUUGUGGCGUGUAAAAAGAAACUCUUACAAAAGCACAAAUUGGAAUUUAGUUGCCUUCACAUAAGUUUACGGGUUGAAUCGAAUUAUGCUGUGUUUGGUUCUAAAUGAUAAACAUCGGACAUUAGAAGCUCUAAGACAAGAGGAGACUGUGGACGAAGUUCAAUCGGCAUAAUGCUCUUAUACGUCUUUUAGCCCAGAAGAGCAAAUAAUUGAAACAAAUGAACACAAUAGAGAGUCUUCUUGAAAAAUUGUAGUUUCUUUGAUGCAUCAUAUUUAAUUAUGUGUAACUAUGUAUCGUGCCUCUUGUUUUACUUAUGUGUAGCUGUCACUGAAUUUUGGGUGUAGUUGAACAAAUGGUUCUUAUUCUCUCUCUCUCUCUCUCUCCUCAAAUAGUGUUAAGAUAAGUAGGUCUUUCAUGGUGCUUGUGAGUGAUGAAUGUUUAAUUUUUAUGGGUACCUGUAAGAUGGUAGACUGCUGAGACGCCUGUUUCACCUUCUCCCUUUCUGUAAUGGAAUGUCAUUGCCUUUCUGAAGUUAUGCAUGCAUGUGUGCUACAGCUAAUUUCACUAUGCGAAAAUCACGCAUAAAGUAUGAAUUCUGUAGCAGUAAGCAUGGCUGUGGCAUGUGUGCUUCUCAGAGAAAUUUUUUGGAAAUAUAACUCCUUUCCACUGGUUAUUUGGUGUGUAUGUUAUAUUUCUGAUUGCAACGUAUCUCCUGCCAAAUAAUAUGAUACUUCUUUUUACAGGCUUGACAUGUAUGUAUAAAUGUAAUUUUGACAUAAAACUUACUUUAUGGGCAAUCUUCUAAGGUAGUCUCUGCUGUUGUUUCUGGCAGACUCUUCUUGAUGUUGCAGCGAUUUCCUGUAGAAUCAAAAGGACGACGUAAGAAGCUGCAGGAGGUAAACACUUCAAAAAGUUUUUCUUAAGCACCCAUAAGUUUUCAUCUUUAGAUGUACUUAUUUUCCCUUUUUUGUGUUUUUGGCGUUGACAGGUUGGCUAUGUGACAACCAUAUGUUUUGCAUGUUUCCUUGUCAGAUGCAUAAUGGUGAGUCUGCUUGAAUGUUUUUGGAGUAAGCCUACUACUAGUACUACUUGAACUUGAGGAAGUAGGUCAAAGUUUUAAACAAUCAAAACCACAUGGACAGACUCUUUUAGUUUUCCAUAUAAUUUACAUUGGAUGUUGUACCAACUGUCAUCAAAUUUGCUAAGGCUGUUCAUUUUGCUCAACGAAUGGUAAUAGCUGAAUUGUCGCACCUGAUUUAUUAAUUCCUCACUUAAGCUUCUAUGGUUCUUAUAUUGUGCUACAGAUGUGCUUCAAUGCAUUUGAUAAAGCAGCAGAUCUUGAUGUUUUGAAUCACCCAAUUCUAAACUUUAUAUAUUACCUGGUAAGCAUUUGGUUUAUAUUUUUUGCUUGGCUAAAGUAACUUUUUUUGUCCAUUAAGCGGCCUCAUUGGAGUUUGAAGUUUGGUCGUUGAAAUUUUCCUUCCCCAUUUCUUGUAGUUGGUGGAGAUAUUGCCUUCUUCUUUGGUCCUUUUCAUUUUGAGGAAGUUGCCUCCAAAGCGCGGGAUCACACAAUAUCACCCUAUUCGCUGAGGAUGGAGAACAUUUGAUGAAAGAAUACCAAGAAUGGUCUUACGAAUACGUGAAGUUUGAGAUGCUUAUCUACCCACCAUGGAAAACGAAAUGUUGGUUAGAGAGGGAAAAGUUGACCAUUGUGUGCUUUGAGGAACAGCUUUAUUGGAUUCUGAGUGUUUGUUCUCAGCAGGGGGUGGUAGAUUUGUUGAAAAGAAAUGACCUUUUAAGGAUUGUCAAAUGUGUUAGUAUCGUGGUCUUUUAUUUUGAGUGUGUUGAAUCAUACGACUGGUGCUUUGUUGUUUUAACAGUCUUGAGCAUUCCAUGAAUAGGAAAAGGGGACCCCAAAAAAUGUGAUUUCUGUAUGAUUGCUGUCACGUACUCUGGGUGGGUAUUUUGGAGAGAUUGUGUGAAGAAAACUUGCACUCUUUGAUAGUUUUUUCUUCAAUACGGUGUUUACAUGUGAUUGCGGUCAUCUGUUGUACUAUAAAAAUGACUAUCUUGUGAAUUGUGGUGUUGUGUCUGAUAUAUAGUCCAUGCCUUGCCAAAUAUCAUUUCAUUUCAUGUCAUGUCAUGUAUGAACAAUGCCAUAUAUUCAUGGAGUAAACAGCAGAAAUUAGGAAUCAAUUAUGUAAAAUUUGCUGGAAAUAACUUGAUCUUGGAAAUUGCUCUGUGAUAGUUUUGUUUACAACAUGGUGUGUACCUGUUCCAAGACUCUGCCUGCUUCGCUUCAUGGCUGAAACUUGCGGUCGUCUUCAACGCCAUCUAGAUUCCGGCCUUUUGGCAGGGAAGUUUGCACCCGGAAGUUGGAACUCUGAGGUGAUGAGAUAGGUUUACCAUCUGGUUGAACAAGAAUGGAAAUGAAGGUGUUAAGAAAAUGGAUUGUAUUCAAUUGAUUAGGGUGGUUCAGAUGGUUGACUAUAUGUGAUGGAAGCCAUUGAUUUCACCCUCCCUCCCUCUACUGGUCGUCUGUGUCAACCGCCAUAUUGAAUGGUAGGUUUUACCACUGAUUGUUCAAGUGGGUUUUGAAUGGUAGGUAAUGUCCAACUCCAACGUAAGAAAAAGAGAGACUAAUGAAACUCGUGCGUGGUUCUAAAGCUUGGAUUACUUGCGAAAUUAGUUUAAGUUACUACUCACUUGGGUUUGGGUGUACAUAAACACUCGUUGUUUGCUUAUAAUUAGUAUGUAUGUAUGGCCUUGAUCUCUGCAUGAUAACGGAUGAUUUUCUCUGUUUUCCCCCAAAAACUCCUUUUUAAAAACAAAGGUGGUUAACUUAGAAGAUUACUUUUGUGUGUUUUUGGACUGAGUUGAGUUAGGAGAUUACUGAAACUCUAAACUCGGAUUAACUUGUGAAUAAGUAAAGUUACUUGGGUCUGCUGUUCUUUCUUACUUUCUUUCUAAGUGUAUUUUUUUUUCCCAUCUUACAUUUUUGGGUUCUUAGGUUUAACAGUCGUUUAAUUUUGACCUGAUUCGCAUUUUUGUCUUUUAAUUUCUAAAAAGUAAAUUUAAGUUUUAACCACAAAAAAACUUUCAUUUUUGAAAAAAGCCAAAGUUUUUACAAAAAAGACAGAAAAAUCUCUCAACUUUCAAAC
Molecule: long non-coding RNA, 3234 nt
Filed under: Prunus persica (peach)
Lineage: Eukaryota; Viridiplantae; Streptophyta; Magnoliopsida; Rosales; Rosaceae
Description: long non-coding RNA (PPER_LNC001381)
Source: RNAcentral